ACGGGAGAGAGGGAGCGGGGAGGAGGGAGCAGUGUAUGUAGGGAGCAAGGGAGUAGGGAGCAAGGGAGGUAGGGAGCGGGGAGGAGGGAGCAGUGGAGGUAGGGAGCACGGGAGGUAGGGAGCAGUGGAGGUAGGGAGCACAGGAGGUAGGGAGCACGGGAGAUAGGGAGCAGUGGAGGUAGGGAGCAGUGGAGGUAGGGAGCACGGGAGGUAGGGAGCACGGGAGAUAGGGAGCAGUGGAGGUAGGGAGCACGGGAGGAAGGGAGCAGUGGAGGUAGGGAGCAGUGGAGGUAGGGAGCACGGGAGGUAGGGAGCAAGGGAGGUAGGGAGCACAGGAGGUAGGGAGCGGGAUGGAG
Long non-coding RNA from Oncorhynchus tshawytscha (Chinook salmon), 356 nucleotides. Lineage: Eukaryota; Metazoa; Chordata; Actinopteri; Salmoniformes; Salmonidae. The record is from Ensembl.